AUGUCAUUUGCUGCAUCCCCAUAUUGGUGUCUGCGUUGCAAUGGCCCUAGCGAGGGUAGAUUGCUAGCCCCCGGCGGAAAUCGGUUCAUUAAUGGUGACAUCACUGGUAUGCUGGAAACAGGUGGAGAGCUACACUAAUUCUUUAUGAAUUACAUAUUCUCAAAAUGCCUCAGACAAUAACACCAUCUAACGGAGGGCUAAAGACCAAGCCAUACAAGCACACUGUGUACAAAGCUGUCAUGUCUCCAUGGGUGAAGAAAGAACGUUUAUUCACUACAUUUCGUUUAGGAAUUUCCCUCAUCUACUGUAUCUUUCUAAAAGACUCAUAUUCAAGCUGAAAGGUACUCUGUUCUUCUGGAGUAACUUUUUUUACAGUAUCUACCAUUAAAGCUCUGCUUUAUUUGAAACACUGCAACAUUAACUGGAAAGAGGAACAGAAUAGGAAUCAUCAUGGUAAACUGCCUAGAGUAAAAUCCAGUUCCUCCCUAGCAUAUUAAACAUGGGAUUCUUGUACACAGUACAGAACUGAGACAGUUUAAGCAAUAGAGUCUGAAAGUUCAAAUACUGAAACAUGUUUCUGGCUGCGUAUAAGGUAUCUUUGAGCAGACAUUUACGUAUCUGUCAAGUUUUACCAGCAGAAAUCUCUCUGCAGCUUUCUCGCUUUUAGCAGAAUAACACUGCAAGAAUUACUAUUACCUAACAAAAGUCCUUCUUACAAAGCAAACCAUAAAUGCUGCAGGUUUAAACCAGUGAGACGUUUAGCAUACAAAUAAUGCAGAAAUGUCGAUUUGUAUGUGUCAACACACAAUCACAGGCAAAGUGUUGAUGUAAAUGCUUGUCAUCUAGAACAUUGAAUUUCAGUGCAAGUGUGGCAGUGAGACUGCUGGACCCCCAACACUGACAGGAUAUGGCAACUGGGGAGAGGAUACUCAUCUCAAACUUACAGCACCAAGCCCUUCACUAUUUUUCCUACGUGUAUUAACCUUACGUAGAUUAGAAGGAAACACGGCUCCACAACCUUCUGAUGGUUCCCUUCAGAAAAACAAACUAACAACAAAUGAAGUAAGAGACUGAAGAAACAGCAGUACUGGUACUAAGCACUGGAAUGUACUGGUCAGCUUGAAUAUUCUGAAGAUCAUGUAGCAUUUCAUCUUAACAAUAGCCUUGACUUAAUCAGAAACUACG
Numida meleagris (helmeted guineafowl) is the source of this 1185-nucleotide long non-coding RNA. RefSeq lists it as uncharacterized. Lineage: Eukaryota; Metazoa; Chordata; Aves; Galliformes; Numididae. The transcript is spliced from 3 exons. The record is from RefSeq and is a predicted model, not a curated record.